Molecule: ribosomal RNA, 441 nt
Filed under: uncultured bacterium
Lineage: Bacteria
Description: bacterial SSU rRNA
Rfam family: Bacterial small subunit ribosomal RNA
Source: RNAcentral
GUCCCGCCUGGGGAUUACGGCCGCNAAGGCUAAAAUUCAAAGGAAUUGACGGGGGCCCGCACAAGCAGCGGAGCGUGUGGUUUAAUUCGAUGAUACGCGAAGAACCUUACCAGGGCUUGACAUGCUGGUAGUAGGAACCCGAAAGGGGGACGAUCCGUCUUUGGCGGAAGCCAGCACAGGUGCUGCAUGGCUGUCGUCAGCUCGUGUCGUGAGAUGUUGGGUUAAGUCCCACAACGAGCGCAACCCUUGCCCUGUGUUGCUCUCUCACAGGGGACUGCCCCGCAAAACGGGGAGGAAGGUGGGGAUAACGUCAAGUCAGCAUGGCCCUUAAACCCUGGGCAACACACACGCUACAAUGGUCGGUACAAAGGGAUGCGAAAGAGCGAUCUGGAGCUAAUCUCAUAGAACCGAUCCCAGUUCGGAUUGGAGGCUUCACUUCAC